Molecule: non-coding RNA, 95 nt
Organism: Pseudonocardia sp. AL041005-10
Lineage: Bacteria; Bacillati; Actinomycetota; Actinomycetes; Pseudonocardiales; Pseudonocardiaceae
Source: Rfam
CGACGCCGCGCGGGAGAGCCCCGGGGAACCAGCCCGGGCGCCGAAGGAGCAACCCCUUCCCGGAAUCUCUCAGGCACACGGACCGCGCGGUCGAG